AGUGAACGCUGGCGGUAGGCCUAACACAUGCAAGUCGAACGGCAGCACAGGAGAGCUUGCUCUCUGGGUGGCGAGUGGCGGACGGGUGAGGAAUACAUCGGAAUCUACUCUGUCGUGGGGGAUAACGUAGGGAAACUUACGCUAAUACCGCAUACGACCUACGGGUGAAAGCAGGGGACCUUCGGGCCUUGCGCGAUUGAAUGAGCCGAUGUCGGAUUAGCUAGUUGGCGGGGUAAAGGCCCACCAAGGCGACGAUCCGUAGCUGGUCUGGGAGGAUGAUCAGCCACACUGGAACUGGGACACGGUCCAGACUCCUACGGGAGGCAGCAGUGGGGAAUAUUGGACAAUGGGCGCAAGCCUGAUCCAGCCAUACCGCGUGGGUGAAGAAGGCCUUCGGGUUGUAAAGCCCUUUUGUUGGGAAAGAAAUCCAGCUGGCUAAUACCCGGUUGGGAUGACGGUACCCAAAGAAUAAGCACCGGCUAACUUCGUGCCAGCAGCCGCCGUAA
Molecule: ribosomal RNA, 506 nt
Filed under: uncultured bacterium
Lineage: Bacteria
Description: partial 16S ribosomal RNA
Rfam family: Bacterial small subunit ribosomal RNA
Source: RNAcentral